Molecule: long non-coding RNA, 1321 nt
Organism: Pezoporus occidentalis (night parrot)
Lineage: Eukaryota; Metazoa; Chordata; Aves; Psittaciformes; Psittacidae
Exons: 2
Source: RefSeq, a predicted model, not a curated record
GAAGACUACCGAAAGUAAUCUGAGCCUGAUGUAUCAAUUUCUUCCCCCAAAACAAGCAGUGUCUACCAUGUUGCCUGAGACCAGCAAGACCUCCGAAAAAAUGAGGCACUGAAUUUGACUGGUGAGAGUAGGUGCAAGUCCCAGAGAAGCCACCUCAGCAGCUACAACAUACAUCUCAUCUGAGCUGAGGGACAAAAAUGAUACAAGACUCAAGUAGCACAGCUGAUGGGAGCAGUAGGUAACUCUUACACUGCAGACUGCAGACCAUCCCCUAGCUAAAAAUUAACAAAGGUCUCUCAUCUGCAUGAGUAUAAAAAUACUCAUCACCCUAGCCUGAGUCAAUACUCACCUUUCAGACUGCCAUGGUGUGUGCCCUGUAGCUAUUCCUCUCCAUGUGACUGGCUGCAUGAAUCCCAUGGGAUUCAGGAAAAUUGGAAUGAAUUGAACAAUCUCUUAAUGGGGGAGAGAAGGAAGGAAGCAGGGAGGCAUUCCCAUUAAAGGACUGUCUACAUCUGGUAAAUCAAUCAAAACGCAAAGGGAUCCAGUAGAUGCUUCCAGUCACCUUUAAUUGUGCCUCAAGUCCAACUGUCUCUAUGGGUCACUACCUUCUGGAGGUACCCACUGGUAUAACCAAGAAAUCAGGAUAUAAAUUUGCCUACUGGCAGAAACCCCAAGCCCUGGUAAAAGCACGUACCUAAGGUUACUAGGCCUGCUUUGGAUGGGAAAGGUUUUAAUAUGAAUUCAAACCGAAUUGCUCAGUGAAAUGUACCUGCAGCUCUGCACAAACAAAUCAAGCUCUCCCCACCCCUUUCUGUUUUCAGGGUGAUGGGCAGCAGAGCUUCUACUGGUUUCACAAGAGGCUACAAGCACUUGGCACCUCUGACAACCAUCAGGCUUCCUAAGAGGUGAGAGUGAGAUUUAAUACAGGGAUUGCUAGAGUGGAGUUAGCAAAGUCUGUAUGGCUUGUAAAGGGACUCCUGUUUCUGAUGUUCUCUUCAUCACUUGGAAUGAAUGGAUGGCCAUUUGUUUCAAAGCCCACAUGUGCCCAACUCCAUCCAUGGACAAAUUCUUGUGAACCUCUGUAUUAGAACAGCUAAUGCUGUGUUUUCUUAGAAGUUUAACUAGUCUCUUGGGGAUUGCUUGGAAGGAUCCCUGAGGACUUCUAAUAGAUGAGUGUCCUGCAUGAGUGAAAGUGCUAGCCCUUGAAGCAACAUCAAGCAAAUGGGGCAUGUAUUGAAGUGUCUGUCAUAGUUGAAGAGUAAGAGUUGAGCUUGCUACUUACAUAGUAUGAUGAUAAAUAGUAAGAAUCAUAAUAAGGUGA